CAAUUUUGUACAUAAAAGUAUUUAAAGUAUACGCUAAAUAAUUAUCACAGGUAUCUAUAUGCUUUAUUUGAACAAAUGAAAUGUGUGUGCGAUAUAUAGAUCUAAUUCCUGUUUCAGAGCAACGCCAACACAUUGCAAUGCCGUCAACAUCCUUCAGUGACAGAUGGACAACAUCCCCAUACUUUCCAAAAGCAAUUGCUGUAUUAGCUGCAGUAAUUACCUUCAUUAUUGUCGGUUUCAUCUUCCACAGAAUGAAGGUGACGAUGGAGCAAAAGGGGAAAGAAGUUCAGGUUGUCAACUCAACUCAAAGGGAGGGUCUAAUCGGCUCUUAUAAUUCCGAAGUGACGAGUUUCCAUGAACCCGUUUUAAUGAUGUAUCCCACGUGCCUGAAGAUUCAUAAUUAAAUACAAGUUAUGAAUACA
Long non-coding RNA from Haliotis rubra (blacklip abalone), 422 nucleotides. RefSeq lists it as uncharacterized. The record is from RefSeq and is a predicted model, not a curated record. The transcript is spliced from 2 exons. NCBI's taxonomy places the organism in Eukaryota, Metazoa, Mollusca, Gastropoda, Lepetellida, Haliotidae.